GAGCACUGUUUCGGCAAGGGGGUCAUCCCGACUUACCAACCCGAUGCAAACUGCGAAUACCGGAGAAUGUUAUCACGGGAGACACACGGCGGGUGCUAACGUCCGUCGUGAAGAGGGAAACAACCCAGACCGCCAGCUAAGGUCCCAAAGUCAUGGUUAAGUGGGAAACGAUGUGGGAAGGCCCAGACAGCCAGGAUGUUGGCUUAGAAGCAGCCAUCAUUUAAAGAAAGCGUAAUAGCUCACUGGUCGAGUCGGCCUGCGCGGAAGAUGUAACGGGGCUAAACCAUGCACCGAAGCUGCGGCAGCGACGCUGAUGCGUUGUUGGGUAGGGGAGCGUUCUGUAAGCCUGUGAAGGUGUGCUGUGAGGCAUGCUGGAGGUAUCAGAAGUGCGAAUGCUGACAUAAGUAACGAUAAAGCGGGUGAAAAGCCCGCUCGCCGGAAGACCAAGGGUUCCUGUCCAACGUUAAUCGGGGCAGGGUGAGUCGACCCCUAAGGCGAGGCCGAAAGGCGUAGUCGAUGGGAAACAGGUUAAUAUUCCUGUACUUGGUGUUACUGCGAAGGGGGGACGGAGAAGGCUAUGUUGGCCGGGCGACGGUUGUCCCGGUUUAAGCGUGUAGGCUGGUUUUCCAGGCAAAUCCGGAAAACUAAGGCUGAGGCGUGAUGACGAGGCACUACGGUGCUGAAGCAACAAAUGCCCUGCUUCCAGGAAAAGCCUCUAAGCAUCAGGUAACAUCAAAUCGUACCCCAAACCGACACAGGUGGUCAGGUAGAGAAUACCAAGGCGCUUGAGAGAACUCGGGUGAAGGAACUAGGCAAAAUGGUGCCGUAACUUCGGGAGAAGGCACGCUGAUAUGUAGGUG
Molecule: ribosomal RNA, 860 nt
Filed under: Escherichia coli
Lineage: Bacteria; Pseudomonadati; Pseudomonadota; Gammaproteobacteria; Enterobacterales; Enterobacteriaceae
Description: bacterial LSU rRNA
Rfam family: Bacterial large subunit ribosomal RNA
Source: RNAcentral